This 196-nucleotide ribosomal RNA is filed under the name Bacillus pumilus. Its description in RNAcentral is "partial 16S ribosomal RNA". It matches the Rfam family "Bacterial small subunit ribosomal RNA", at positions 1 to 193 of the family's 1533-position model. RNAcentral also lists the same sequence under 3 other names. Lineage: Bacteria; Bacillati; Bacillota; Bacilli; Caryophanales; Bacillaceae. The record is from RNAcentral.
UUUUCGGAGAGUUUGAUCCUGGCUCAGGACGAACGCUGGCGGCGUGCCUAAUACAUGCAAGUCGAGCGAACAGAAGGGAGCUUGCUCCCGGAUGUUAGCGGCGGACGGGUGAGUAACACGUGGGUAACCUGCCUGUAAGACUGGGAUAACUCCGGGAAACCGGAGCUAAUACCGGAUAGUUCCUUGAACCGCAUGG